AUACGGAGGGUGCAAGCGUUAAUCGGAAUUACUGGGCGUAAAGCGCACGCAGGCGGUCAAUUAAGUCAGAUGUGAAAGCCCCGGGCUUAACUUGGGAAUUGCAUCUGAAACUGGUUGGCUAGAGUCUUGUAGAGGGGGGUAGAAUUACACGUGUAGCGGUGAAAUGCGUAGAGAUGUGGAGGAAUACCGGUGGCGAAGGCGGCCCCCUGGACAAAGACUGACGCUCAGGUGCGAAAGCGUGGGGAGCAAACAGGAUUAGAUACCCUGGUAGUCCACGCUGUAAACGAUGUCGAUUUAGAGGUUGUGGUCUUGAACUGUGGCUUCUGGAGCUAACGCGUUAAAUCGACCGCCUGGGGAGUACGGCCGCAAGGUUAAAACUCAAAUGAAUUGACGGGG
RNAcentral lists this ribosomal RNA (396 nucleotides) under uncultured bacterium. Its description in RNAcentral is "partial 16S ribosomal RNA". It matches the Rfam family "Bacterial small subunit ribosomal RNA", at positions 523 to 918 of the family's 1533-position model. The record is from RNAcentral.